This 967-nucleotide ribosomal RNA is filed under the name uncultured organism. RNAcentral's name for it is "bacterial SSU rRNA". It matches the Rfam family "Bacterial small subunit ribosomal RNA", at positions 535 to 1489 of the family's 1533-position model. The record is from RNAcentral.
CGAGCGUUGUUCGGAAUCACUGGGCUUAAAGAGCACGUAGACGGUCUGUCAAGCGUCUUGUGAAAGCCCUCGGCUCAACCGGGGAAUUGCUUGGCGAACUGGCAGACUUGAGGCAGGUAGGGGCAGUUGGAACUCUUGGUGGAGCGGUGGAAUGCGUAGAUAUCAAGAGGAACGCCAGAGGCGAAGGCGAACUGCUGGGCCCGUCCUGACGCUGAGGUGCGAAAGCCAGGGUAGCGAACGGGAUUAGAUACCCCGGUAGUCCUGGCCCUAAACGAUGUCCACUAGAUCGAGGAUUCUCUGAAGGAUUCUUGGUCGAAAUGAAAACGUUAAGUGGACCGCCUGGGGAGUACGGUCGCAAGGCUAAAACUCAAAGGAAUUGACGGGGGCUCACACAAGCGGUGGAGCAUGUUGCUUAAUUCGAUGCAACGCGAAGGACCUUAUCCUGGGCUUGACAUGCUUGGAUGCCCAUCUGGAAACAGAGUAGGCUGCCCUUCGGGGUGAAACUUGCACAGGUGCUGCAUGGCUGUCGUCAGCUCGUGUCGUGAGAUGUCGGGUUAAGUCCCAUAACGAGCGAAACCCUUGUCACUAGUUGCCAGCGCGUAAUGGCGGGGACUCUAGUGAGACUGCCGGUGUUAAACCGGAGGAAGGUGGGGAUGACGUCAAGUCCUCAUGGCCUUUAUGCCCAGGGCUGCAAACGUGCUACAAUGGCCGGUACAAACCGAAGCGAAACGGCGACGUGGAGCAAAUCGGAAAAAGCCGGCCUCAGUUCGGAUUGGAGUCUGCAACUCGACUCCAUGAAGUUGGAUUCGCUAGUAACGGCGUAUCAGCUACGACGCCGUGAAUACGUUCCCGGGCCUUGUACACACCGCCCGUCACAUCAUGAAAGCCGUCUGCACCCGAAGUCACUGAACCAACCAGCAAUGGAGGGAGGUGCCGAAGGUGUGGGUGGUGAUUGGGAUGAAGUCGU